Molecule: long non-coding RNA, 571 nt
Organism: Glycine soja
Lineage: Eukaryota; Viridiplantae; Streptophyta; Magnoliopsida; Fabales; Fabaceae
Exons: 2
Source: RefSeq, a predicted model, not a curated record
AUAAGAAACUAAGGAAAUUAAAUAGGAAAUGGGAACACGUAAUUUCAAUUCAGUGGAAAUAUCUUAGCAUUUCGUACUGCAAAGGGCAGAAAGCCAGAAACACUCAUACAUACUGGUAAGCUCUGGUUUUAAAAAGCAGAUAGAUGAUGGAAGCAGAAUAUUUUUCUUUUUUUUCUUUUUUUAUGGAAAGAUUGGGGGUUCACUAGAGAUGAUGGAUCUCAAAAUUCUUUAAAAAAAUCAGAGGAAUUUUUCUUAUUUCAGAUGAGAAGGAUGUUAAGAUUGCUUACCUUGGUGAGUAGGUUGAUGGGGUAUGGUUGAAGUGAAAGUUUAAAUGGAGGAGGGUUCUUUUUCACUUAGAAAGAACACAUUUUGUCAAGGUAACCCUCAUAGGAAUAGAAUAUUCAAAAGGAUCCAAUACAUCCCCAAUUACUCCCCCAACAACGAGAGGAUCCCUACUUCCACUAGGCAUGGGAUAGUGUGCACACUAGUUUACUCAAAAUUUGGCUUAUGCUUUCUUAUAUACUCGUUUGCUUUGUUAUGAAUUAUGAACCCCGAUAUGAAGUCUUCUCUA